CAAAAGCAUGUAUUUCCUUUCUUUUGAAUCAAGUGAGCAAAGAAUAUACAAUAUGCUGCUGUUUCAAAAAUACAAGAAUGCUUGAGAUGUAGCACAUUUCAGUUGAUACUAAACAAUUGUAAUGCUAUAAACAGAGACAAUUUAAAGUGAAAAAAGGAAAAAUCCUCAUGGCAAACUUGCGAUAUUCAUUGUUGCCACUUCUGUCAAAGGGUUUGAGGAAGCACUGGGUUUGAGUCUAGCACUUUUACACCAUCUUCUUCCAUUGAAAUCUUACUCCAACCCGAAUUUCUCAAGGAGAAAACCUUAGGCCGGUCGAACACACUUCCCCUGAAACCUGUUAUCUUUGAUGAAACCAUGGGCAUCACAAGAACUGCAGAUGCAUUGAUCGAGUCCUCUCCAAAACCUAGUGAUAAAGAACAAGCAGUCUGCCAAACCUUGUUUAGCAUUUCUGUGACCUUCACUGCUAUUCCUUGUACAAAUGAUCUUGGGUCUUUAUUUUGUGCAUCUUCAACUGGUUUGAUCAGCCUGUCUGAUUCGCUUGAAACACUUGAAGACACAAUUGAAACUAAAGAUGCAUUAUCUUUGACCUCAGCACCUCUUGACUCAUCAGGUGCCAGCAAAGAAAUGCCAAUGAAGACACUCAUCAUCCCCAGUAUGAACAUUGUUGUCCUCAGUGCAUCAAAUACCUGAUAUUCCUGAAAGUAGACAAAUCCUGUACAAAUGGAGAAGAAAGUCCAAACAAUCUGAAACAUCGGAACAAUAAGGCAAAUAGUGACAAUCCUUCAUUCAACCUCGUCAUCCAAAAUCCAGCCGUACUGAAAAAUAAAAGAAGCAUGGAGUAAGUAAACCAGCUGUGCAACUGAUAACCAUUAGACAUGGCCAAUCUUAGCAGGUUAGAUAGAGAUUUUGCAAACAGCACUGAGCAUGAUCCCACUGCACCAGAAACUACAGCAUAUGAAAAAGGAAGAAGCAUCUGCCAAUAAGGUCUAAGGUCUUGUCCAGAAACAGCAAUCAAAAGUUCUCCUCUCCUGUAAAUGUAAUGAUGCAAGGCAACAACUAAGACCAAAAUCAUACAGUAAAAAAGGAAAGUCAUGUUGCUGUAUUUCUCCGCCAAUUGCUCUGGCGUGUACACAGGAGACUGGUGGUUGCCAAAGGCAACAAGAAAAACAUUCCCUAGAACAAUAAAGGCUGUAGCGACAAGAACCUUAACAGUCACCAUUUUGUUCAGCACAAAAUAGGCAAAUGCAAUGUUGGAUACAAACUGAACUGAUCCCAAGGCUGCAAGAAGUGACUGAGCAGCAUAUCCAAAUGAAAUGAAAUUAAGGCAAUUUCCAAGAAAGAAAAAUAGAAUACCAACUCUCCAAGUCUGAAAGUAUAUGAUAGGCUUCAAAUGACUCUUCCCACUUGUUCCAUCAAUGUCUAGCGUAGAAUGCCUCUCUCUCUCAGUAUGACCCAAUUUAAGAAGGUUAGUCCCAAAGUUGAUGGCGAUGCUACCAAAGAGAUUGAUUAAAGCUCCAAUGAUCCACUCCCCCAUGGCUGACAACGCGUGAUGCUCCAAAGGAGAGCCCACAUACAAUUAAAAUCCAAAACUACGCGGGUUCGAUGAUUCUCACCAUCAACCCAGAAGCAGAGAAACUAUUCCUGACUUCAGAACAGAAAGCCUGCAGCACCCACUUCCAGGAAACAACAAUUCCCGGAUGGAAAUGAAUAUAAAAUGCUCUGCUUUACCUCAAAAUCCUGAUGAAGGAAGAACAAUGCACACCACAAACUCUUUCUCUCUCUCUCUCUCUCUCUCUCUCUCGUGUGUGUAAUAAUUGAAAUGCAGCAGAUCCAAAGGGGAAGAACAAGGUCUGGUUCUGUACCUGUUUCUUUAUUUACUUUUCUUUAAUUUCAAGUUCUGUUAAGAUAUCUUGUAGAAGUUGUUUGUUGACAUAGAAAAAAAUAAUAAUAAAAACUAGAUUGGUAAGAAAGGAAAAGAAAGGGGAGGAAAGAGAGAAAAUUUGACGGGUCACAGGCGUCUAGAGAAAGAGGAAG
RNAcentral lists this unclassified non-coding RNA (2034 nucleotides) under Hevea brasiliensis (rubber tree). The record is from RNAcentral. Lineage: Eukaryota; Viridiplantae; Streptophyta; Magnoliopsida; Malpighiales; Euphorbiaceae.